This 77-nucleotide transfer RNA is filed under the name Micrococcus sp. RNAcentral's name for it is "tRNA-Val". It matches the Rfam family "tRNA". Rfam says of the family: Transfer RNA (tRNA) molecules are approximately 80 nucleotides in length. Their secondary structure includes four short double-helical elements and three loops (D, anti-codon, and T loops). The record is from RNAcentral. Lineage: Bacteria; Bacillati; Actinomycetota; Actinomycetes; Micrococcales; Micrococcaceae.
GCGCCUAUAGCUCAGUCGGCUAGAGCGCCACGCUUACACCGUGGAUGUCGGGAGUUCGAGUCUCUCUGGGCGCACCA